RNAcentral lists this long non-coding RNA (624 nucleotides) under Marmota monax (woodchuck). The record is from RNAcentral. Lineage: Eukaryota; Metazoa; Chordata; Mammalia; Rodentia; Sciuridae.
CUUAGACUCCAGCCUCGCUCCCUUGGAAGCCACCUAGCCCCGUCCCGCGGAGGACAGCCCGGUUUCCUCGGGUCCAGCUCCGCCCCCUGGAUGACAAACCUGUUUCCUUGGAAGCAUCCCACCGAUUGGGCGACAGCCCCGCCCUUCGGACGUCAGCCCCGCCUUCUCAGGGGCCAGUCAGUCCAGCACUUCGGGCAGCCCCACCUGAGAUCGUCCAGGGGCGGGACUCCGGUCACCGCCGCCACUCCCACCCUCUGGCUGCUAGUACGCGGGCGCCACUGUAGCUCAAGACUCGGUUGGUCCACUCAGCUAAGUGGAGGAGAUGCGGGCGCGUCCCCAGCAAGCCCGCGCGACCGCGCUGGACCACGUAACCGACCCUGCCCCGCCCACGGCCCUACGCGCUGUGCGUGGGCCUCCCGCCGCCUUGUCUGAUGCGCGCCUCGGCGAUCCACACCGCGCGGUGGCGGGGUGCAUGCUGCACGCGGUCGCGCUCGCGGUGCCCCCUCCCCAGCUUGAGAGCAACCCGCGGUUACGUCAUCCGGCUUAUGUAAGAGCCGCAGCUUCCGGGGCUUUUCCCUAACGGGAGGGGGAGCAGGGUCUAGGAGCAGAAGGGUCUGCCCCCCA